Molecule: long non-coding RNA, 2052 nt
Organism: Grammomys surdaster
Lineage: Eukaryota; Metazoa; Chordata; Mammalia; Rodentia; Muridae
Exons: 3
Source: RefSeq, a predicted model, not a curated record
AGGAAGCGGCGCGCGCAGCGGGUGGCGGGAGCCCGGACCCCGGGCGCAGGUGCACUCCUGCCACUGAGGGGGCACGCAAGGUCAAAGGCGUGGCCCUUUGAGCCCCGCACCCAAAGAUUGCCUAGACUCCAAAGAGCCUUGGAGGCUAGGUCUUGACGGAAACAUCUAAGCACUGAGCAAUUUGACCUUGGGGCGGCAGGUUUAAAAGGCCUUGGUUGCUCUUGAACUGAGGUGCAGAGGCAGAAUCCAAGAAAGAGCUUGGUCCUUGCCAAGGAUGCAGUGCCUCAGUUCUGAUCCAGUUCACUGUCAGGGAAAGCCGUGCUGGCUAAAAAAAUAAAAUAAAAUCUAGAGUCCCGGCGACAGUGCAGAUCCUCAACAUCUGAGAGACUUAGCAUCAGAGGCAAUACAAAGGGAAAGACACCUUCCCUCCGGAGGUGAAAGCUGUGAGAAGGUAUGGAGGAUUGGGAGUGGUUGAUGGAGCACCUGAUGGGAGGGAGGGUCCCAGACAGGCGGCCCAGCUUGGAAGUGAAAGUUAGAGGGACAAACGAGGUACAGGAAGUGGGAAGAUGGCUCUUGGGACCCACGAUCAGGCCUAAGCGAACGGUUCAGAGCUCCGGAGAAGGCAGGGAGAUGAGCUGUGGGGCGGAAAGAUUUGCACACCUUGGGUCCCGGGACUGUCCUGCUCAGCUGAGUGGAAUACCAAACGAGGGUGUCUCGAAGCUGAGCUUCACCUCAGCCAGGCAAUCGACAGGAGAAGCAGCGAGCGAGACCGACAGACUGUCACUGGCAAAAUGAACUGUCACCUCCCAUUUUUCAGAGGCACGGCGGGAUGAAUUGCAGCCUUGAACCGUGCGGCCCGCUGCUGAUUGAGUUCCGCUGUCUUAAAACCCCGUCGAACAAGGCGAGUUCAUUUCAGACUGACGUCUCACCGCUUAUCAAUUUAGGAGCUAGUAAAAUUAACCGCUUCGGAGCUGAUUUUCGCCCUCCCCCUGGUUCAGAUUCCACAUCCGGAAAGGUCACGAAAAUAAAUCUCUCUGGGUCCCACUAACAUAAUACGCAGUCUAGAAAUGAGGUCUCACAAGGCUGAAGCCAAACAUAACCCAGGUCCCAAAGCUUUCAGGGGGCCCUUUGGAGGCACCAGCCCAUGGCAAUAGUGUGACAUGCCAGGCGUUUGUUAACCCUUCGCCUGCAUACACCAGCAGCUACUGCCCCCAGGAGCUAGCAUCGGGAAGGGUUGGGUAGCUAAGGAUGAAGCUGCCUCCCAAGUCCCCCAUGCCUUUCUGCAGAGAAGUGUGUAUUCCUUAGCUUCCUGUCCUCAGGUUCCUCCACACACAUAGAAGUGGACACCCAACAAAUGAUUAUAAAGCCAAAUAAGAUGUGAUGUUUGCUAAAGCAUCGGUGAUUAUUUUGAAAAGUUUAAACGUAUGUGCAGAGACAAGGCUUUGGUUUGAGGAAAGGGAGAAGGAUUGUGAUCCAGGAAAAUAUUGCUUGUCACCAGCCACUCCCCCAACACAUCCCGUACCGGAAAUGGCUCCUGAGGGCAGAGAUGAACACACACCAGAACUGCAUCUCUGUCUCCAGACGCAAAAAGUGCCUUCUGCUUCGACUCUUCACCAUGGCUUAACUGCUCUGGAAGGCCCACAUCUGCGUCAUGGAUACAAACAGUUGUCUCAGCGUCCUUUGACACCUCUCUUCCCUAAGGCAAACGAAGGCAGUGUUUAUUUCCAGCGAUAGCAUCAAACCAUUUCAGUACGGUUUGUUUUCAGCCUUGCUUAAGCUCCUGGGUCCUCUCUACCUCCAUCUGGAAGUGUCUGCCUUUUUAUUAACAAGAGUAUCUCAUCUCAGAAGAGGGGACACAGGUUUUCCCUUGGAAGCAGUGUGAGAAAGAAGGACCUGUGGACAUGCAACUGGCUUCAGACAGGAAACUGGUACUGUCUCCAGCAAACAUCAGGGCAAAGGGUAAAUGGUUUAGCUCAGCCACAGUCUAGCCCAGAGUAGCCAUCUCUGCUGGAGUUUUGUUCUCAGCCUUUUUCUAAGAGGUUUGCUUCUGUG